This 665-nucleotide ribosomal RNA is filed under the name uncultured bacterium. RNAcentral describes it as "bacterial SSU rRNA". It matches the Rfam family "Bacterial small subunit ribosomal RNA", at positions 72 to 738 of the family's 1533-position model. The record is from RNAcentral.
GAGGGAGCUUGCUCCCUGGAUUAGUGGCGAACGGGUGAGUAACACGUGAGUAACCUGCCCUUGACUCUGGGAUAAGCACUGGAAACGGUGUCUAAUACCGGAUACGAACUUCAGCCGCAUGGCUAGGAGCUGGAAAGAAUUUCGGUCAAGGAUGGACUCGCGGCCUAUCAGCUAGUUGGUGAGGUAAUGGCCCACCAAGGCGACGACGGGUAGCCGGCCUGAGAGGGUGACCGGCCACACUGGGACUGGGACACGGCCCAGACUCCUACGGGAGGCAGCAGUGGGGAAUAUUGCACAAUGGGCGCAAGCCUGAUGCAGCAACGCCGCGUGAGGGACGACGGCCUUCGGGUUGUAAACCUCUUUUAGUAGGGAAGAAGCGAAGUGUUUUACACGGAGUGACGGUACCUGCAGAAAAAGCACCGGCUAACUACGUGCCAGCAGCCGCGGUAAUACGUAGGGUGCAAGCGUUAUCCGGAAUUAUUGGGCGUAAAGAGCUCGUAGGCGGUUUGUCGCGUCUGCUGUGAAAACUGGGGGCUCAACCCCCAGCCUGCAGUGGGUACGGGCAGACUAGAGUGCGGUAGGGGAGAUUGGAAUUCCUGGUGUAGCGGUGGAAUGCGCAGAUAUCAGGAGGAACACCAAUGGCGAAGGCAGAUCUCUGGGCCGUA